RNAcentral lists this long non-coding RNA (928 nucleotides) under Equus caballus (horse). Its description in RNAcentral is "lncRNA (ENSECAG00000039156.3)". Lineage: Eukaryota; Metazoa; Chordata; Mammalia; Perissodactyla; Equidae. The record is from RNAcentral.
GCUUCCUAUGCACUGAGGAACCUCCAGCUGGCUGGUACUUGAGUAGAAGGCAGACUGCAGACCCUGUUGGAGCAGCCACCCCAGAGAGACUCCACAGCAAAGGAGAGCAGGACAGAGGCAUGGCAGAAGGAGGACACUGUGGGAAAAGGGGCCUGAUGGAACUGAAGGGGUGGAGGAGGUACCAGUGAUAACCUGUCAUGAUCAGUUUUGUCCCGCAAUCAUCUGAUCUCGUAUCCUCGUCACUCCUUAUUCUGAUUGUGCCCAUUGGGCAAAGCAGACCGCAUCAUUUUACCCCAUGGAAACUGUGGGCCAGAAACUUGCCUCUGAGACCACACAAUUUAUCAGCGGAAAAGGACAAAACCCCCACUCCCACGUGCAUUUUUUUUUUUUUUCUGGAAGGACUGAAACCAGCAUAGCCAUGGCUACAAGCAUGCAGCAAACAAAAGGAGACCAUAGAAAAUGAUUUCACAAAGCAAUGGCUUUCUGAGCAUAGGGAGCUUAGAGAUCAUCUGAGCCCAAACCACACUUCUUGGUGAUACACAGUCUGAACUUAAGUCUUCAACUAAAUUCAACAACCUUACUUUGUAAGCCAAAAUAGAGUUGAGCAUAGCCCUCACCUUCUGGUGUCUGCUUCUCUUUGUUUCAUUCAUAAGAGCAGAAGCUUAUUUUCCCAAUUUUUCUUUUGCUUUCAAGAAUCCUUCAUUCACUCAGCCAACAAAUGUUUUCUGAGUGUCUGUUGGGUAUUAGUACUCUGCAAUGUGCUAGAAAAAAGCUGGAUUGAUCUAGUUCCAUGAAUCAGGCAAGAGGAAAGCUCAUAAAGCGUGCAGACAAUUUCUAGAAUGGUACUGUGACGUUAUGGGAAAAAAUGUAGGCUUUGAAGUCAGAUACUAUUGAGUUUAAACUCCAACUCAAUUACUUACAGGUUUUG